GACGAACGCUGGCGGCGUGCUUAACACAUGCAAGUCGAACGGAAAGGCCCUGCUUUUGUGGGGUGCUCGAGUGGCGAACGGGUGAGUAACACGUGAGUAACCUGCCCUUGACUUUGGGAUAACUUCAGGAAACUGGGGCUAAUACCGGAUAGGAGCUCCUGCUGCAUGGUGGGGGUUGGAAAGUUUCGGCGGUUGGGGAUGGACUCGCGGCUUAUCAGCUUGUUGGUGGGGUAGUGGCUUACCAAGGCUUUGACGGGUAGCCGGCCUGAGAGGGUGACCGGCCACAUUGGGACUGAGAUACGGCCCAGACGCCUACGGGAGGCAGCAGUGGGGAAUAUUGCACAAUGGGCGGAAGCCUGAUGCAGAAACGCCGCGUGCGGGAUGACGGCCUUCGGGUUGUAAACCGCUUUCGCCUGUGACGAAGCGUGAGUGACGGUAAUGGGUAAAGAAGCACCGGCUAGCUACGUG
This 468-nucleotide ribosomal RNA is filed under the name uncultured bacterium. RNAcentral describes it as "partial 16S ribosomal RNA". It matches the Rfam family "Bacterial small subunit ribosomal RNA", at positions 28 to 507 of the family's 1533-position model. The record is from RNAcentral.